Molecule: ribosomal RNA, 375 nt
Filed under: uncultured organism
Description: partial 16S ribosomal RNA
Rfam family: Bacterial small subunit ribosomal RNA
Source: RNAcentral
GGGGGGGCAAGCGUUUGUUCGGAAUUACUGGGCGUAAAGGGCGCGUAGGCGGGCAGGAAAGUCUCUCGUGAAAUCCCACGGCUCAACCGUGGAAUUGCGGGAGAUACUACUUGUCUUGAGUUCGGGAGAGGAGUGUGGAAUUCCCAGUGUAGCGGUGAAAUGCGUAGAUAUUGGGAGGAACACCGGUGGCGAAGGCGGCACUCUGGACCGAUACUGACGCUGAGGCGCGAAAGCUAGGGGAGCAAACGGGAUUAGAUACCCCGGGUAGUCCUAGCUGUAAACGCUGAGCACUUGGUGUAGCGGGUAUCGACCCCCCUGCUGUGCCGAAGCUAACGCAUUAAGUGCUCCGCCUGGGGGAGUACGGUCGCAAGGCUG